Molecule: long non-coding RNA, 851 nt
Filed under: Homo sapiens (human)
Lineage: Eukaryota; Metazoa; Chordata; Mammalia; Primates; Hominidae
Description: HSALNT0306681
Source: RNAcentral
AUGGACAUGCAACGAAAUAACUAGCAAAGAGACCUUGUUUCAACAUCAAAUAUGUUUCCGUAAGGCCAGAUUCUUGGGCAAAGUUGUUUUAGCGAUCUGGUUGCAACUAAGUAUUGGAGUUGUUGUGCCUUGAAGCUAGAAACUGCCUUGAAUUUCUACAUAGGGAAAUGUAAUCUAUUGCUUUCUUACAGAUUGCCAUUUGCCAGCUGACCUGUGACACAGCAGCAGUGUAUUACAUUUUCAAUGAGCAGUCUGUCUGGAGCUGCUAGUGGGAGAAACUGCUUCCUGGUUUCUAGGGGAGGCAGAUGAUGAAUAAAUGAACAAAAAAUAUAAUAAUGGAUAUGUAUUUAUAAGUGCUAUGAAGAGAAGAAAUCCAAGCAAGAAGAGAGUGAAAUGAGGUAGGUGGAUUUAGGAUAAGGUAGGGUAUUCUGAGAAAACUUCUCUGAGGACAUGAUGUUUCUGAGGACAUGAUGUUUGUAAAUAGAUUUGAUUCACUAGAGAGCAUUCACAAAGAAAGUAAGAGAAAUUAGGUGGCAGAAGGAGCCAGGGAACCAAACCUGUAAGUUUUUGCAGACCAUGGUAUGACAGGAAGCCAAUUCAGGUUUUUGGCAUAAGUAUGGUGUUGUUAGCUCUUCAAAAUACAUCCAAAAAAUUCCGAUCACUUCCAGUUUGAUAUUCUGAUCUAGACCAUUGUGGAAUCUUGGUUGAACUCUUUCAAAAGUCACUGGUCUCUCUAAUUGUACUUGUGUUCCUCUACAGUCAAUUCAAUACACAAAAAAACAGUGAUACUUUUAAAACAUCGAUAAGGCUGGGCACGGUGGUUCACGUCUAUAAUCCCAGCACUUCAGGAG